This is a long non-coding RNA of Phyllostomus discolor (pale spear-nosed bat), 449 nucleotides long. RefSeq lists it as uncharacterized. The record is from RefSeq and is a predicted model, not a curated record. The transcript has 2 exons. NCBI's taxonomy places the organism in Eukaryota, Metazoa, Chordata, Mammalia, Chiroptera, Phyllostomidae.
CAUAACAAAUAUUCUUUUCUUUCUACAGUUAUUUGUUAAAUCUAGGCAAAUCAAUAGAUUUCUCUACAUCAAGCCAUUAGUUCCACCUUUUCUUUAAAUACAUCAAUCAAGAACUAAAACUAAGUAACAAGUAAAAGCAAGAGUCAUCCCUUCAACUCCUAGGUCACAGAGUGAUCCCUUCAAAGGUGACAGGGAAAGAACACGGACGUGAAAAAUCAUGAAUUACCAGUACUGUUUACACACCACGAAGUUUUACACAGGGGGCAGUAGGUUUAGUAUGAGAAGCACUGCAACUCUGAAAUAGCACUUUCCAGUUCUCACCCUGAAAAAGUUCAAAUAGUGCUAACCAGUAUUACACAACUUAUACAAAAUUAGCCAAAGCAGAUAUCACUAUUAUUUGUAACAAUUCCCUCCCGACACCACUGUAACACAAAACAAAACAAAACAAA